GGGGAUGUAGCUCAGUUGGUAGAGUGCUUGCCUCGCAUGCAUAAGGCCCUGGGUUUGAAUCCUGGGCACCA
RNAcentral lists this transfer RNA (71 nucleotides) under Ictidomys tridecemlineatus (thirteen-lined ground squirrel). RNAcentral describes it as "Spermophilus tridecemlineatus (thirteen-lined ground squirrel) tRNA". It matches the Rfam family "tRNA". Rfam says of the family: Transfer RNA (tRNA) molecules are approximately 80 nucleotides in length. Their secondary structure includes four short double-helical elements and three loops (D, anti-codon, and T loops). The record is from Rfam by way of RNAcentral. Lineage: Eukaryota; Metazoa; Chordata; Mammalia; Rodentia; Sciuridae.